UACAGGGGGGGCAAGCGUUGUUCGGAAUUACUGGGCGUAAAGGGCUCGUAGGCGGCCGGCUAAGUCCGACGUGAAAUCCCCAGGCUUAACCUGGGAACUGCGUCGGAUACUGGCGGGCUUGAAUCCGGGAGAGGGAUGCGGAAUUCCAGGUGUAGCGGUGAAAUGCGUAGAUAUGACAUAGAACACCGAUAGCGAAGGCAGCUUGCUACACAAUCAUUGACACUGAGGCACGAAAGCGUGGGGAUCAAACAGG
This 253-nucleotide ribosomal RNA is filed under the name uncultured bacterium. RNAcentral's name for it is "partial 16S ribosomal RNA". It matches the Rfam family "Bacterial small subunit ribosomal RNA", at positions 524 to 776 of the family's 1533-position model. The record is from RNAcentral.